Molecule: long non-coding RNA, 4450 nt
Organism: Hypanus sabinus (Atlantic stingray)
Lineage: Eukaryota; Metazoa; Chordata; Chondrichthyes; Myliobatiformes; Dasyatidae
Exons: 2
Source: RefSeq, a predicted model, not a curated record
GUCAGGUUUGCAGAUGAUACAAAGAUUGGUGGGGGCAGGUAGUGUUGAGGAAACAGGUGGGAUGCAGAAGGACUUGGAUUAGGAGAAUGGGCAUGAAAGUGGCAAAUGAAAUACAAUGUUGGAAAAUGUAUGGUCAUGCACUUUGGUAGUAGAAAUAAAUGUGCAGACUAUUUUCUAAACGGGGAAAAACGGGAAAAAAAACUGAGAUGCAGAGGGACUUGUGGGUCCUUGUGCAGAAUAUCCUGAAGGUUAACUUGCAGGUUGAGUCCGGUGUGAGGAAGGCAAAUGUAAUGUAAGCAUUCAUUUCAAGAGCUCUCGAACACAAGAGCAAGGAUGUGAUGCUGAGGCUUUAUAAGGCACUGGUGAGGCCUCACCUUGAGUAUUGUGAACAGUUUUGGGCCCCUCAUCUUAGAAGAAAUGUGCUGGCAUUGGAGAGGGUCCAGAGGAGGUUCACUAGGAUGAUGCAAGGAAUUAAAGGAUUAUCGUACGAGGAAUGUUUAAAUAGUUCUGGGUCUGGAAUUCAGAAGGUUGAGGAGGGAUCUCAUUGAAACCUUUCGAAUGUUGAAAGGCCUCGACAGAGUAGAUGUGGAAAGGAUGUUUCCCAUGGUGGGAGAGUCUAGGACGAGAGGGCACAUCUCAGGACUCAGGAUAGAGGGGCGCUCUUUCAAAACAGAGAUACGGAGAAAUUUCUUUAGCCAAAGGGUGAUGAAUUUGUGGAAUUUGUUGCCACAUGCAGCUGUGGAGGCCAGGUCAUUGGGUGUAUUUAAGGUAGAGAUUGAUAGGUUCUUGAUUGGACAUGACAUCAAAGGUUACGGGAAGAAGGCUGGGAACUGGGGUUGAGGAGGAGAUAGAGAAAAAGGAUCAGCCAUGAUUGAAUGGUGGAGUAGACUCGAUGGGCCAGAUGGCCUAAUUCUGCUCCUAUGUCUUAUAGACCAUAAUCAGUCAUAAUCACUAGAUCUGCAAUCACAGUCGAAGCAUUGGCCGACUCUCAUGGACCUGAGGUGAGGAGAUUUGAAGACUCUCUGCUCCUAUACAGGUUGUUGGUGAGAGCGGUCCAGGGCUAUCUUUUUUUUUUGAAGCUUAUACGGGAUGGGAUCCCGAGGUUAAUUCCAGGAGGGGGGGUGUGGGGGGCGUGUCCUCCGAGGAUGGGGUGGGUAAGAGGUGUUGCCCUGAAACACCAAAUGGAUCUGAUGGAGGCCAGCGGCCAUUGAAACAUCUUCCUCUUUCUGGUUCGGUUGUGUUUUAUAAAAUUAUGAGAGUUGUAGAUGGAGUACACAACCAUAUCAUUUCCAUAAAUACAGAGAUGCAGGAAAUCCAGAGCAGCACACACGAAGUUCGGAGGAACUCAGCAGGUCGGGUAGCAUCUACGGUUUUGGUUUGUAGUAUGUUUCCCAGGGUUGACAUGUCUAAUACCAGAGGGACAUGCAUUGAAGGUAAGAGGGGGUAAUUUCAAAGGAGAAGGGGGGGGGAGGUUUUUAUACAGAUAGUGGUGGAAUGUGCUACCUGGGGUGGUGGCAGAGGCAGAUACAGUGGGGACUUAAAGCGACAUUUAGACGGGUGUGAGGAAAAUGGAAGGAAAUGGACGUUCUGUAGGUCCGCCACUUGGUUGCUAAUUUAAUCGGUUCAGCACAACUUUGUGGGCCGAACGGCCUGUAACAGUGCUGUGCGUUCCCUGACUCAGUUCCAACUGCUUGUGUUGGCUGACUUGUACUCGUUCUUGUUAUUCAUUACUUUGCUAAUUUUAUUAAUUGUUGUAAUUUAUAGUGAUGUCUAUGCACUGUACUGCUGAAGAUAAAUUUCACGUCAGUGAUUCUGCCUACUAGUCUCGGUACCGGGGAGGGGUUUGAGAGUUGCACAUUCAUUGUUUAAAUCCGUGUGUUGUCUCGCCCUGUAGGGGCUUUGCCCCGUCACCACACAGUCCAUGUUCACCGGAGACCGUCAGUGAGGCGAUGCUGUUGGUGGUGGGGGGAGGGGAGGGGAGGGAGAGAGAGGGUGAGAAGGAGAGCGGGAGAGGGGAAGAGAGAGAGAGAUUCCGACAGAGGUGAGAGGAACAGUGUGACCCUGAUCCAAGGUUUUGGCCAGGAGAGGACAGAGAUGCGAGUAGGAACCAAACCAGGGACACGGGUGGUCGGGACAGACGAUGUGAACUGAUUUCACGCUGGUUCCAACUGGUUGUAUCUCCGUCUGAUAUGGAGGGGACACUGCAGAAAGUUGUAUACUCAGUCAUCUCCAUCAUGGGCCCUCGCCUCUCCAGCAUCGAGCAUCUUCAAAAGGCAAUGGCUCAAACGGGAGGCAUCCAUCAUUAAGGAUCCCAUCGCCCAGGACAUAUCCUCGUCUCAUUGCUACCAUCAGGUAGGAGGUGCAGAAACUUGAAGACACACACUCGGCAAUUCAGUAACAGCUUCGUCCCCUCUGCCAUCUGAUUUCUGAAUGGGGAUUGAACCCGUGAACACUACCUCGAUAAUUUUUGUUCUCUUUUUGAAAUAUUUACAGAACUAGAUGUGUGUUUCUUAUUGUAUACUUUUAUCAUGAUGUGUCUGCUGCUGCAAAACACCGCAAUCCGCGACAUAGGCCAGUGAUUCCGGUGGAGCGACCCCUCGAGCGGCCACAAGGGGGAGCAGUGGCUUAGCGGUUCAAGUACAGACAGCGUCUUCAGUGCCGGGAAACGUCCCACCGUGACUCAGUCAGUCAAGUUUAUAACCAAAGUACGUAUGUCACCAUACACUACUUUGAGAUUUAUUUUCUUGCAGGGAUUGACAGGAAGAUAAAUUCAAUAGAUUUAUUUAAAAACUAUGCAUACGCAAAGACAUAACCAAUGUUAUAAAAGACAAGCUGUGCAGAUAAACUCUGCAUUGCAUACACAGACACUUGGGGGCGAGUCUGUAGGGUUCGGAAUCAGCUGUGUUGUAUCAGUGAAGUUCAGCCCCUCUUUGCGUUCUAAAUAAUUCAUUAACGGGUUCUCUGGGAGUGAAUGGUCUUCAAACCGUCCUAUCUGCAGAAGCCCUGCUGGUCACUAACAGGUGUGUUUAGCCAGCCUCCUGAAUUGUGUCGGUCCCUAGUCUGGCAUCGGUCAGGGCCAUUCCUGGGCCGGUCAAGCCUGGGUGCCACACAAGACGACUUCCCCAACAACUAAUCUACUGCUGCCUGGAGUUAACAAACACGGACUCGUUUAAUUACCGCACGUAAUGCUGGAGGAAAUGAGCAGAUCAGGAAACAUCUAUGGAGAGGAAUAAACAGUCAACGUUUCAGGCCGGUAUCUUUCUUCCUUUAAAUUUAAUUAACGAGUUACUACUUUGAAUGACUGUUUCUUAAGGUUGUUAUAUACGGGGUGGGAGUGUGGUGGUAGGUCCCGCUACCUAUUAAAUGCUCCCAAUGGCGAGUCUCAAACCGCUUCUAACGACCGAGUCCAGCGGAACCGUUUCUACUGGCAAAAGGGGCAAAGGAGGGUCACUGACGCCUUAAAACCGGUCCACUUGGGGCAGAUGGGGCUGGUCAGCUGUGCUUGCCCAUUUAUCUAGAAGGGAAACUCUGAUCUCAAACCUCCACUCCCUUGCGGCUAUCCCCACUCAUGGGGAAGUAACUGCCGAAGAUCAAUCCGGAGUGGAAAUCCCCGAGGCAAUCACAUGUUGAGUUCAACAGUGACUGGCAACUUCUCACCGCCGCCGCUGGCGCCAGUCCGUAUCCGUCCUCCCGUCGGAUGCAACCGCCGCGCAAAGAGGGCGAGCCCGCUACUUGGGCAACAGCUCGCAAAGAAGACCAAAUCUGCAGACGCUGGGAAUCCAACCCGCACAUGCAAAAUGCUAGAGGAACUCAGCAGGCCUGGCAGAGUCUACAGCCAAAAAAAAGUACAGUCGACGUUUCCGGGCCGAAACCCUUCAGCAGGACUGGAGAAAAAAAAUUGAGGAGUAGAUUUAAAGGGGAGGGGAGGGAGAGAGAAACACCAGGAGAUGGGUGAAACUUGGCGGGGGGGGGGAGAGAUAAAGCAAAGAGCUAGGCAAUUGAUAGGUAAGAGAAAAGGCCAUGAUAGAAAGGGGGGGGGGAAGAGCACCAGAGGGUGGGGAAUGGUGAAGGAGGAGCGAUGGGGGUAUUACUGGAAGUUUGAGAAAUCAAUGUUCAUGCCAUCAGGUUGGAGACUACCCAGAGGAAUACAAGAUGUUGUCCCUCCAACCUGAGUGUGGCCUCAUCAUGACAGUAGAGGAGGCCAUGGAUGGACAUAUCGGAAUGGGAACGAGAAAAUCUGCAGGUGCUGGAAAUCCAAACAACACAAACACAAUGCUGGAGGAACUCAGCAGGCCAGGCAGCAUCCUUGGAAAAGAGCACAGUCGAGCAGAUUUGAAAGGUGGGGAGAAACCUGGAGAGGGAAGAGACAAAGACCUGGGAGAUGAUCAGUGAAAGAGAUACAGGGUUGGAGAAAAGGAAGACCAUGGAAGAAAGGAAGGGGGGGGGGGGG